Molecule: long non-coding RNA, 2649 nt
Filed under: Triticum aestivum (bread wheat)
Lineage: Eukaryota; Viridiplantae; Streptophyta; Magnoliopsida; Poales; Poaceae
Description: long non-coding RNA (TAES_LNC024466)
Source: RNAcentral
AGCCUCUAGACCACAAGAGACUCUUUUGAUCGAUAUAGAGUUGAAGUCUUUUAAUUUGCAUACAGUAAAGCUGCUGGGUUCCUCAUUCAUAUUUGGGUCCACCUAUUAUUUGUUUCUAUUGAUUUAUAAGUUAUACUAAUGAGAUGUUCAUUAAAAAAAUAGUUCCAUGACUUCAGAUAAUUGAUCGAGAAUAGUGCUAAUGAAUUGUUUUGGCUUCCUAUGCAUUAAAGAAAUAGUUCCAUGACUUAUAAUUGCAUCAUCUGAUCCAUUAAUAUAGACAAGUAGAUAAUUUGUUCCUUGACUUGCUCUGUUUGGAACCUUCUCUUCUCUGUUUUGGUGGUGAAUGUUGAGGUGGUCCAAGCUCAAAACAGAAAAACAUUGUAGGUGGUCCUAACUCAAAACGGAAAAAAUGUCCAGGUGGUCCUUUUCCAUGUGCUUGUGCUUGAUAUUCGUUUUUAACUGUGCAAUGUUUCUUUUUUCGAAUGAGCUGGAAUGUACUAUCACUAUAGCACUGGGUUAUGUUAAUUGAAAAUCUUUAAAUGUGAGGAUGUGUAUGUCCAUGAGCAGGGUUACAAGUAUGCUAAAUUACUAAUCAUCCGCCGAAUUUAGUGAACUUGCUUUUUACCCGACAGCCUUCUAUUUCUGUCAUCCUAUUAGUUGAAGUGUUCCAAAUUUUGAGUAGACAACUUAUUUACCUUUGUUAUUUUGUGUUCUGUGGAUGGAAGGGAACAAUUCUUUCUGUAUGAGUGUGACCCUGCCUGCAGAGUAAAAGGUCAUGGUGACAACGCCGCUUGGACUGCUUCUGGACGUCCACGGUGACACCAGGCAGUUCCAAAGCCAACCUGAGCUCCUCCUUGUGGUGAUGUUAGCCGGCGAGCUUCCUCUACCUCCACUCUAUGUGGAUGUCAGCCGGUGAGAUAUAUAGUCUCUACAUUUCCAUCAUGCACAGACUUUUUAUGCAUAGCAACCAGAUCAAUUCUCUGGAUGCCUUGUGCAUAUAUAAUUAGCUCUCAUCUUUAGUUUAACUUUGGAACGAGAUUAUUCACUAAAGGAGAUUCAUGGUUGCACUAUCUAAUUUUAUUGGUUUGUUCUAACUUUAGAAUGAGAGUAAUCACUAGAGGAUUGGAUUCAUGGUUGCAAUAUAUAAUUUCUAUUAAUUUGCUUUUUUAUAUAUUAUGAACUUCAGUUUCUUUAUACGCCAAAACAAAACCACCAAUUUGGAAACCUCUGUCAGUGUUAAAUAAUUAGGCACAUAAUAAUGGUGAGAUGCCUUUACUUGAUUCAUCGCAUAGUGUAAUCAAGUUUUGUGCCUAAAGAAAAUCUUAGAGGAUAUCUAUGUAUAGUAGGCUUAUUAUGUUUUCUGGGUGCCAUGUAGAAUACUAAGGUAAAAUAAUUUUACUCUUAUCUUUUAUAUUGUUUUAUGUUAAAGAGGUUACACUAUAUCCAGAUCACUGAAUAUUAUCCAAAGCGAUUCUCCUUCAUAAAGGCCAAAUUAUUUUCUCCCUAUCCAUGAGGUAUCUAUUUGAAUAGUUUGCCUAACAUGAUAUGUCCUUUAGCAGAUCCGUGUGUCGCAACAUGCAAGCAAAUCAAAUGAAGGAGUGUGGACAAAGUUAUAUAUCAAGCAAAUCCGUGCGUCACAACAUGCAAGCAAAUCAAUUAAUCAAAUGAGUGUGGACAAAGUUAUAUAUCAAGCAAAUUGGAUGAAGGCGUGUGGACAAAGUUAUAUAUCUAAUGGUCAACCAUGUAGUUUACUAUAGUAUUAUGCAGUAUAGAAAACAAUGUAAAUAAGUUAGGUGGGACUAAUACUAUGGCCUGCUUUUGGUUUCUAUCAUACCAAACCUUGCUUAAGUAUUUCAUGUCACAUUUAUAACAAAUGCGCGAAUGGCAUGUAGAUAGGGUCAUUUUUUAGAUAUUUUACGGGAUGAGUACUGUUGUGAGUAUCUACCAUCACCUACUCUUUGAGUAAUAUCAGAUAUAUUUCCAUCAUGAGAUAUAUUGAGUAAUAUCAUAUGUUAAUCAAAAAGAGUUAUAUCAGAGGUUUGAUCAUUGAACUUCUUUUUUAUCAAUUUGAUCCUUGAUACAUUUCCAUUCUGAGAUACAUACAUAUUUUUUCUAUUACCGGGUUAGUGAAAACGGGAUUACGUGGAAGUUGGGGUUUGGCAAGUAGCACCUCUUUUAUUAAGUCCACAUCAAAAUUGAGAGGCAUUGUAGGCCAGUUCUUUGAUAAUUCUAUGUUUUAUAUAGAAUGCUCCAAUGAUUGUAUUACCGGUUGAAUAUUAGUGCAUCCGGGUAACAAACAAUUUGUCAGGCUCUCUGAUAGUACCAUAGGUGUCUUUGCCUUCAAAAUUGAAAAGGGGAGACCAUCACUCACUGUCCAUGAGCUUAAAGGCUAAGAUACAAAAUCGCAAGUGCAUCAUUGUUUACGCAUGUUCUAUGCAAUUUAUCUUGCGGAUCACUUGCAUCAGGUAAUGUGACAUGUCACCUAUAAAGUUGAUCGACAAGGAAGCCGAAUGAAGCAACUUAUUAGUAUGCCUAAUAGCUAUGGCUAUGUAGUUUUUAUCUUUUUAUGUGUUUCUGCUCUUGGUACUUCCUCUCUCAUGUCCGCGCUCUUAGUACCAAACUUAAUGUCAAGCGGUUAGUUUUUGUGGU